This 252-nucleotide ribosomal RNA is filed under the name uncultured bacterium. RNAcentral describes it as "partial 16S ribosomal RNA". It matches the Rfam family "Bacterial small subunit ribosomal RNA", at positions 524 to 776 of the family's 1533-position model. The record is from RNAcentral.
UACGGAGGAUGCGAGCGUUAUCCGGAUUUAUUGGGUUUAAAGGGUGCGUAGGCGGGAUGCCAAGUCAGCGGUAAAAAUGCGGUGCUCAACGCCGUCGAGCCGUUGAAACUGUCGUUCUUGAGUGGGCGAGAAGUAUGCGGAAUGCGUGGUGUAGCGGUGAAAUGCAUAGAUAUCACGCAGAACUCCGAUUGCGAAGGCAGCAUACCGGCGCCCUACUGACGCUGAGGCACGAAAGCGUGGGUAUCGAACAGG